Daphnia magna is the source of this 659-nucleotide long non-coding RNA. RefSeq lists it as uncharacterized. The record is from RefSeq and is a predicted model, not a curated record. NCBI's taxonomy places the organism in Eukaryota, Metazoa, Arthropoda, Branchiopoda, Diplostraca, Daphniidae. The transcript is spliced from 2 exons.
UAUAUAAUCACUCAACGGCUCUCGCCUCUCGGUGUUCGCGAAGUUCCCGAUAGGUUUAAGAAAAAAAAAAUCACACGGUAUUAUCAAAAUUGAACACUGAUUUCGCUUAAGUUAUUGGCUUUCUCUUCAAACCCACGGAAAGCCAAAUUACCCCCUAAAUUUUCAGCACAACAAGGAGCACCAUUAUUUUUUUGUUGUUGUUGGAAAUAAUCAUCAACAAGUAGCGUUUUUGGUAAUCUUAAAUUAGCAGGAGAAACCUAAAGUUGGAGGAUGAUACAUUUGUUUCCUGUUACUAGUUUUGUAAAAACAAAUGAGAUUGAUUCCAAAUCUUCAGUCUCCCAGGCAGACACCCAUCCACAAAGCCAUGGGUGAUAAAUGAUCUUCACAGCGGGCACGACUGCGUUGUAAAUUGGUAUCACUUUUACAAAGCCAAACCGGUAUAAUGGCAAUGGCAUUUUUCAAAUUUUAUAUAUAGAAUUAUGUUGCUUCUUUGCUUCAUUGGACAGCAGAUUUAGAUCACGUGUCUACUGUGAAAGAGAUCAUGUGUCUCAACGAAAAUGGCUCAUGCUCAAAGUAAUUAACUAGUGAACUCUUUUUUGUAUUUGUUGUUAUUAACGAUUGCUUGCAUCAUAAUUUAAAUAUACUGUAUUUGAAACAAG